Molecule: ribosomal RNA, 253 nt
Filed under: uncultured bacterium
Lineage: Bacteria
Description: partial 16S ribosomal RNA
Rfam family: Bacterial small subunit ribosomal RNA
Source: RNAcentral
UACGAAGGGGGCUAGCGUUGCCCGGAAUCACUGGGCGUAAAGGGCGCGUAGGCGGGUCUUUAAGUCAGGGGUGAAAUCCUGGAGCUCAACUCCAGAACUGCCUUUGAUACUGAGGAUCUUGAGUACGGGAGAGGUGAGUGGAACUGCGAGUGUAGAGGUGAAAUUCGUAGAUAUUCGCAAGAACACCAGUGGCGAAGGCGGCUCACUGGCCCGUAACUGACGCUGAGGCACGAAAGCGUGGGGAGCAAACAGG